Mauremys mutica (yellowpond turtle) is the source of this 3275-nucleotide long non-coding RNA. RefSeq lists it as uncharacterized. The transcript has 3 exons. The record is from RefSeq and is a predicted model, not a curated record. NCBI's taxonomy places the organism in Eukaryota, Metazoa, Chordata, Testudines, Geoemydidae.
CCAUCUCUAGUAAUCCUUUCAUGCCACUGAAGGUUUUGAUGCCAACAUUAUCACCAGCUUUAUAUUGGCAUUCCUUUGUACACAUUCUUUUAAUUUGUUGGUCUUCCCAUUCUAAUGAGUCUGUACCGGUAAAGCUGCUGAAACCAAACCACCACUGAUGGAGGUAGUUGCUGGGUUCAGCUUUGAGUAUCCUCAUUUCUGAUCUUGUCCUGCUACUUGAUAUGGAACAACUGACAACAACAAUGAGAAUUUAAAAGCUUAAUUCAGUGUUCUUCAGCUUUCCUCAGUGUCUAUGUUUCGCUGCUGUACAACAGAGUCGGUAUAACUGGUUCUAUAGACCCAGAGCUUCAUAGCAAACAUUGUCACAACAUCCCUACAGAGGCAACUGAAGGGCCCAAAACAUGGCAGCAGUGUACACAUCUUCCAAGCAUCCUCCAGCACCGUUUAUGACAUUACUGACCUGAAAGUUGUCACCUGCUCAAUAUUCUGUCUGGGCAGGUUAAUACUGAGCAGGUUGUAAUCUGGAGCUGGAGGCUGUUUGAUGAUAAUGGCCAGCAAUUUAGCCUUCUCUGGAUGAUGAUCAUAGUGGUCCCUUUUGGCCUUGGAAUCUAUGAAUCUGGCAUUGACUGAACCACUUUGUUUUGUUUUGUUUUUCCAUUAUAGAGCUCUUGUCACUAUCUUCCCAGGGAUGCCAAGUCACUUAAUCAGAUACGACAAACUUGCUUGAUGCACUGAAUCAGAGGCCUGAUGGAAGUCUAUAUAAAGUACUGCUCAUGGCUUAUGAAAUGCAGCCAUCUUCUCAAAAAGCUGUCUCAAGGAAUUACAAAAGGGGGUAAGCAAUGACUGCUCCUUAUACCCUGUUCAGAUGCUGCUGCUGAGACCAGGACUCGAUAGAUGACAAUGACCCACUGGACCACGAUCACCACUGGAACAGCUACCGCAGCAGAGAAUGGCGAUGAACGAUGAUGAAGAAUCAGCUUCAACCAUUGUAUCUGUCUCUUCACUGAUCUGUGGGUGACAUUGGAAGGGCAAAGGCCCCAGAGUGAGCUGGCAGCAAUCAGCCCUGAUGACUUGAAACACCAUUCCUCAUCAGAUGACGGAGAGAGUGAGAUUUCAGUCUCUAAUGCUUUGAUGGCCCUAAGGAGUUCAGAACAGAAAGCCAUUUGAUAGCUUGGUUGUAAGAAGAGCUUUUGGUUGACUCAGACUAAUUUCAGCCCACUAACUUUUUUUUUUCUUUCAAAGUAGGAGGCACAUUUUUGUAUCUGCGUGCCCAUACAUCACACACUGUUGAUCACCAGUGAUUGUUAACGAGGACAUGAUCAAUAACAGUCCCAGUGAAACCAACUGGGCUGUACCUACUCUGUUUGUGAAUCUUGGGUGACGGAGGAAUGAAUCAGCAAUCACCAUGUUAUUGGCAGCUGCAAAUUCUAUCAGUUGUUGCCCAUUUCUGUUGUUCUGCUGGAUACCAAACUUCCUGAGAGUACUUGCACAGGUCACUAUACUUUCUUACUUGUGCAUUAAAGUUGCCCAGGGUCAUGAUGACAUCUCUUCUCAGAGUUUCAUUACGGAUUGAUUGCAGUUGUUGGUAAAAAAUAUCUGCAGCUACAUUAUAGGCCUUGGUUGAACCAUACACGGCAAUGAUGGUAAGAUGUCCGCAGCUAUUAUGGAAUCGGAUGCUGAAAAGUCACUUCUUAAUCACCUCCAUUCCCUGCACUGCCUGUUGGGCAAUGAGUGAAAGUACAAUGGCCAUUCCUUGCUGGAAAACCUGUCGGGAUGGCCUGAGAACAAAAACGUAUAAUCCUCAACUUUCUUUUCACCACUCCUGGCCAGUGUAGUUUAGAUAAAAUACAGAUAUCAAUGUUCAGACUUUUCAAUUGCUUGAUUUAACUGUUUCAGAAUGUGUUUUGAUGUUCCAGGCACCAAUUUUACAUUCACCACCAACAUGCAGGAUCCUGGAAUAGCCCUUUUGUAAGGUUUCUUUGGUCAUUUUUGCAUAAAUGGCAGGUUGAUUCAGGACAAUUGACCAGAUUGUUGCAGGUGGUUGGCUUUAGUGUUAAACACUCUGAACAAACUGGGGUCUCUCAUAGUCAAAUUUUGUUUAAUUUACCUUUCAUUUGGUUUUAUUAGCAAAUUCUGUUUUUCCUCUAGUUUGGAAUAACUGAGCUUCUGUAGAAAGCAACUUCCUUGUUAAUUUGCCCAUUACCAUCUGUGAAGGUGAUGCCAUUCCUUCUCCUGGUAUAUUCUUAAAUCCAGUGCAACUAGAAACGGAUCCUUAUUGUUAUGGCUGGCUAACUUCAAGAGACUUUUUUCACUGUCUGUCUGAAUAGCUCUCUCAGCCAUCCUGUUGCUCUGAGGAUAUUUUGGUGAUAAUGUGAUAAUCUCAGAUCUUAGUGAAUUCUUUAAAUAAUGUAUUUGACUAUUGGGGUCCAUUAUCAGCCAUCAGAACCUGUAAUAUUUCAUGCCUUGCAAACUGUGAUUUUUAGUAUAGGUGAUCUCCAUUCUACUGCUUGUGUUUAUGUUGUAUCAACCAGGCAAGGUACUAACAAACUUCAACAGGACUUUAUUUUUAAAGUGGAAACCUCUUUACCAAGCUGCUGCUGCACCCUCUGUAACUCUCACUCUGCCUCCAACUCCUCCCCCCUCCUUCCUGUUUCCUGUCCUUUCAGACUCCCAACAGCAAGUGCUCCCAGUUCUAAUAAUCAUAAGCAACAUCUAAAUACCACAGUUUGUUAGUUUUGAAAGCUUCAUGCAUUUAAAGCAGUAAUCAAAGAACAGUAAACAGAUUUCUUUGUCAGAUUCAAAUUAGUCCAUUUUUUUUAGUCUGUGUUUACAUUGUGGCCAAAGUUACCUACCUGUUGGGAAGGAUAUUUGAUACUUGUUUGUCUUCUGAUUACUCAUCUGCAUUUUGUGAUUCACCUCUACAGUAACAUUUUCAUUUACAUAAUCUUCAUGCCAAUAGAAGUAUAAUAAUUUUCCUUCCACAUACAUGGUCACAAGCUUCAGUUUCAGAUCUUCUUUCCUUUUCUUAAUCUAUUUUAUAACAGAUAGUCAAUAUAUUUCUUAACCAUCUCCCCUCUUACUCUACCUCUGGACUAGUUAUUUGACUAUGGACGAAUCUGUUUGAGAAAUGGUGCUGUCCAGUGAAGAGGUGGCUGUGUAAUAUGAAAUAAAUGUGACUUAAAUGCUUUCAAGUGGGUUAAAGUAAAUAUCAAUUAUGUGAAAAUGAGAACAGAAAUGUAUAGAGUGACCAUGAUAUAUGUAAUUUUUAAAGAAAU